AACGAACGCUGGCGGCAUGCCUAACACAUGCAAGUCGAACGAGACCUUCGGGUCUAGUGGCGCACGGGUGCGUAACGCGUGGGAACCUGCCCUUAGGUUCGGAAUAACUCCCCGUAAGGGGUGCUAAUACCGGAUAAUGUCUUCGGACCAAAGAUUUAUCGCCUUUGGAUGGGCCCGCGUUGGAUUAGCUAGUUGGUAGGGUAAAAGCCUACCAAGGCGACGAUCCAUAGCUGGUCUGAGAGGAUGAUCAGCCACACUGGGACUGAGACACGGCCCAGACUCCUACGGGAGGCAGCAGUGGGGAAUAUUGGACAAUGGGCGAAAGCCUGAUCCAGCAAUGCCGCGUGAGUGAUGAAGGCCGUAGGGUUGUAAAGCUCUUUUACCCGGGAUGAUAAUGACAGUACCGGGAGAAUAAGCUCCGGCUAACUCCGUG
Molecule: ribosomal RNA, 433 nt
Filed under: uncultured bacterium
Lineage: Bacteria
Description: partial 16S ribosomal RNA
Rfam family: Bacterial small subunit ribosomal RNA
Source: RNAcentral